GUAUGUUUUGUUUAGAUGGGUUCAUGUGAAAAAUAAAUAUCUAGGCUUUUGUCAAAUUGAUACGACAAAAAUUGAUACGAUAUUCCUACGAACUAGGGGUAUUUACCUUGAAAAUUUCAAGUUUAUAGUAUGUCGUUCAGAUUUAGAAUA
Non-coding RNA from Caenorhabditis elegans, 150 nucleotides. The record is from Ensembl. Lineage: Eukaryota; Metazoa; Nematoda; Chromadorea; Rhabditida; Rhabditidae.